RNAcentral lists this ribosomal RNA (253 nucleotides) under uncultured bacterium. RNAcentral describes it as "partial 16S ribosomal RNA". It matches the Rfam family "Bacterial small subunit ribosomal RNA", at positions 524 to 776 of the family's 1533-position model. The record is from RNAcentral.
UACGUAGGCCGCGAGCGUUGUUCGGAAUUACUGGGCGUAAAGAGUGUGUAGGCGGUGUUCCCAGUCUGUUGUGAAAUCUCCCGGCUUAACUGGGAGGGUGCAGCGGAAACUAGAAUGCUAGAGGGUGGGAGAGGUAAGCGGAAUUCCUGGUGUAGAGGUGAAAUUCGUAGAUAUUAGGAAGAACACCAGUGGCGAAGGCGGCUCACUGGCCCGGUACUGACGCUGAGGCGCGAAAGCGUGGGGAGCAAACAGG